Molecule: long non-coding RNA, 2243 nt
Organism: Arachis stenosperma
Lineage: Eukaryota; Viridiplantae; Streptophyta; Magnoliopsida; Fabales; Fabaceae
Exons: 6
Source: RefSeq, a predicted model, not a curated record
AUCCUAAUUCCUGUAGUGCUAACGAUAGUCAGUCACAAUGUUCUUCUAAUCUACGGGGAAAAACAGAUUUAGCUGGAAAAUAUGUUGCUCUAUAAACGGUGAAUGAAAAACCACAAUAUCAAUGUUUAUUUUGUUUACAAGUUUUCAAUGGAGGUGGAAUUCACAGGAUGAAGAAACAUCUAGUAAAGAUUACUGGAGACGUGAAAAAAUGUCCUAAAGUUCCAUAUGAUGUAAAAUAACAGAUGGAAAGUUUGUUGAAAGAAAUUCAAACCAACAGAAAGAAAAGAAAAGUAAGUUUUGGUGAAGAGGGUGGUGAUGAGGUAGAGGAUGCAAUUGAUGAGGCAAUAGCUCAAGAAGAACAGAAGCAACAACGUACUUCGAGUCAGUAAGGAGUUGGAGGCGCUCCAAAGAAAAAAGCUAAAGUCAUUCCUCCUAUGUUUGCACCAAGAACAACUCCAGGAGCUCAAUCAAGUAUUAAAAGUGUUUUGCAAAACAAAGAGGCGAUACACGAGGUUGAUAAACGGUUUGCUCGGUGGCUUUUGGAUUGUAAAAUUUCGUUUAAUGUUGUGAUGACGCCAUUUUUCCAGAUAUUAUCAACUCAAGAUGGGACAAGCAUUUGAAGAAAGAUCUUCAUGCGGCAGCUUACUUCUUGAAUCCUAAAUUCUUUUUUAAUGAAAAUUAUAAAGAAGCACCUGAUGUCAUGCGAAGUUUGUUUGAUCUUGUUACCUUGUAUCGCAAGUGUAACAAUUUGGAUUCAGUUCAGGCAAUGAAAGAAAUACAUUUAUAUAGAGUUCGGAAGGAAAGUUUUGAUAGACAAGAAGCUAUUCGAGCUGCAUCUGAACUUAUGCCUGAUGAAUGAUGGAGGUUAUUCGGAGGCUUUGCUCAAUGUUUACAAAAAAUAGCUGUUCGCAUUCUUAGCCAAGCAUCUGCUUCUUUUGGGUGUGAGAGAAAUUGGAGUCUUUUUGACCAAAUUCAUACAAAAAAAAAGAAAUAGAUUGGAGCAUGAUAGUCUGAAUGACAUUGUUUAUGUUACCUAUAAUUUGCGUCUUAAAUCCAGGAAGGAAAAAGAAAAAAGAAAGCAAAAGACACAAUAUGAUCCAAUUGAUUAUGAAAGCAUCAGUCAAGUUGACUUUUGGGUGACUGAAGAGGUUGUAAAAAAAGUGAAUGUCCUAAAGUUCCAUAUGAUGUAAAAUAACAGAUGGAAAGUUUGUUGAAAGAAAUUCAAACCAACAGAAAGAAAAGAAAAGUAAGUUUUGGUGAAGAGGGUGGUGAUGAGGUAGAGGAUGCAAUUGAUGAGGCAAUAGCUCAAGAAGAACAGAAGCAACAACGUACUUCGAGUCAGUAAGGAGUUGGAGGCGCUCCAAAGAAAAAAGCUAAAGUCAUUCCUCCUAUGUUUGCACCAAGAACAACUCCAGGAGCUCAAUCAAGUAUUAAAAGUGUUUUGCAAAACAAAGAGGCGAUACACGAGGUUGAUAAACGGUUUGCUCGGUGGCUUUUGGAUUGUAAAAUUUCGUUUAAUGUUGUGAUGACGCCAUUUUUCCAGAUAUUAUCAACUCAAGAUGGGACAAGCAUUUGAAGAAAGAUCUUCAUGCGGCAGCUUACUUCUUGAAUCCUAAAUUCUUUUUUAAUGAAAAUUAUAAAGAAGCACCUGAUGUCAUGCGAAGUUUGUUUGAUCUUGUUACCUUGUAUCGCAAGUGUAACAAUUUGGAUUCAGUUCAGGCAAUGAAAGAAAUACAUUUAUAUAGAGUUCGGAAGGAAAGUUUUGAUAGACAAGAAGCUAUUCGAGCUGCAUCUGAACUUAUGCCUGAUGAAUGAUGGAGGUUAUUCGGAGGCUUUGCUCAAUGUUUACAAAAAAUAGCUGUUCGCAUUCUUAGCCAAGCAUCUGCUUCUUUUGGGUGUGAGAGAAAUUGGAGUCUUUUUGACCAAAUUCAUACAAAAAAAAAGAAAUAGAUUGGAGCAUGAUAGUCUGAAUGACAUUGUUUAUGUUACCUAUAAUUUGCGUCUUAAAUCCAGGAAGGAAAAAGAAAAAAGAAAGCAAAAGACACAAUAUGAUCCAAUUGAUUAUGAAAGCAUCAGUCAAGUUGACUUUUGGGUGACUGAAGAGGUUGUAAAAAAAGUGACUGAUCUUCCUAGUAAUGUGGAUGACUUAUUGCGUGAAAUUGAUGCUGAUUUAUAUCAAAGUGGCAGUGGUAGUAGUGGUCUUUGUGCUGCAUCUCUUGAUUCUUCUGCUCAACAAAGUGGGA